RNAcentral lists this ribosomal RNA (406 nucleotides) under uncultured bacterium. Its description in RNAcentral is "partial 16S ribosomal RNA". It matches the Rfam family "Bacterial small subunit ribosomal RNA", at positions 28 to 526 of the family's 1533-position model. The record is from RNAcentral.
GACGAACGCUGGCGGCGUGCUUAACACAUGCAAGUCGAACGAGUGGCGAACGGGUGAGUAAUACGUGAGUAACCUGCCCUCUUUUUGGGAUAAGCCUUGGAAACGGGGUCCAAUACCGGAUAACGGGGGAUGGGCUCGGGGACUAUCCGCGUGUUGGUGGUGUGAUGGCCUGACAAGGCGGUGACGGGUCGCCGGCCUGAGAGGGUGACCGGGCACAGUGGGACGGGGAAACGGCCCAGAGUCGUACGGGAGGCGGCAGUGGGGGAUAUUGCACAAUGGGCGAAAGACUGAUGCAGCGACGCCGCGGGGGGGAUGAAGGCUGUAGGGUUGUAAACCUCUUGCGGAAUCGAGCGGGUAGGUGGAGAAGAAGCGCCGGCUAACUACGUGCCAGCAGCCGCGGUAAUUC